GACGAACGCUGGCGGCGUGCUUAACACAUGCAAGUCGAACGGUGAAAGCGGAGCUUGCUCCGCUGGAUCAGUGGCGAACGGGUGAGUAACACGUGGGCAACCUGCCCCUCACUUCGGGAUAACUCCGGGAAACCGGGGCUAAUACCGGAUAUGACCUCCUUGGGCAUCCUUGGAGGUGGAAAGUUUUUCGGUGAGGGAUGGGCCCGCGGCCUAUCAGCUUGUUGGUGAGGUAGUGGCUCACCAAGGCGACGACGGGUAGCCGGCCUGAGAGGGCGACCGGCCACACUGGGACUGAGGGACGGCCCAGACUCCUACGGGAGGCAGCAGUGGGGAAUAUUGCGCAAUGGGCGAAAGCCUGACGCAGCAACGCCGCGUGCGGGAUGACGGCCUUCGGGUUGUAAACCGCUUUCAGCAGGGAAGAAGCCGCAAGGUGACGGUACCUGCAGAAGAAGCACCGGCUAACUACGUGCCAGCAGCCGCCGUAA
RNAcentral lists this ribosomal RNA (485 nucleotides) under uncultured bacterium. Its description in RNAcentral is "partial 16S ribosomal RNA". It matches the Rfam family "Bacterial small subunit ribosomal RNA", at positions 28 to 523 of the family's 1533-position model. The record is from RNAcentral.